Nothoprocta perdicaria is the source of this 416-nucleotide long non-coding RNA. RefSeq lists it as uncharacterized. The transcript is spliced from 2 exons. The record is from RefSeq and is a predicted model, not a curated record. Lineage: Eukaryota; Metazoa; Chordata; Aves; Tinamiformes; Tinamidae.
CCACCUCUGAAGGUCUCCUAUGUGAGUGCAAAAUCAACAAAUAUACGAUAGCAAGAAUUUAGACUGCAGUCAGAAGUGUAAGAGGAUCAAGCUGAAUUUCUUAAUCUAGUCCAAAAGUGACAGAAGAUUAGAAAAGAGGAACUGAGAAGACUGUCCAGCAGCCAUUUGACCAUAUCAGCUCUAUCCCUCUUCCUUUGACAAAAGGCUUAGGUCUAAAAGAAUCUGUUGAAUUGGGGAAAUAGAAGAUUUUGGACAUGGCUCUGAAAGAAAGUUGAAAGAGCUACAGGACUAUGUAAAAAGUUGAAGAUUAGAAAAAAAAAAAAAAAAAAAAAAAGAACUCUGCUGAUUUCAGUCCAGAGGGAGAGAAUUCUCCCUUUUCCCAGGGACAGGACCAUGUGCCACACACAUGUACCAGC